This 405-nucleotide ribosomal RNA is filed under the name uncultured bacterium. RNAcentral's name for it is "partial 16S ribosomal RNA". It matches the Rfam family "Bacterial small subunit ribosomal RNA", at positions 29 to 526 of the family's 1533-position model. The record is from RNAcentral.
AUUGAACGCUGGCGGCAGGCCUAACACAUGCAAGUCGAACGAGUGGCGGACGGGCGAGUAAUGUCUGGGAAACUGCCUGCUGGAGGGGGAUAACUUCUGGAAACGGUAGCUAAUACCGCAUACCAUCGGAUGUGCCCAGAUGGGAUUAGCUAGUAGGUGGGGUAAAGGCUCACCUACGCGACGAUCCCUAGCUGGCCUGCGAGGAUGACCAGCCACACUGGAACAGAGACACGGUCCAGAGUCCUACGGGAGGCAGGAGGGGGGAAUAUUGCACGAUGGGCGCAAGCCUGAUGCAGCCAUGCCGCGUGUAUGAAGAAGGCCUUCGGGUUGUAAAGUACUUUCAGCGGGGAGGCGUUACCCGCAGAAGAGGCACCGGCUAACUCCGUGCCAGCGGCCGCGUAAUAC